Equus quagga is the source of this 550-nucleotide long non-coding RNA. RefSeq lists it as uncharacterized. Lineage: Eukaryota; Metazoa; Chordata; Mammalia; Perissodactyla; Equidae. The transcript has 2 exons. The record is from RefSeq and is a predicted model, not a curated record.
AUCUGAUCCUACAAAGAAAAAAAUCACUCUUCUAUGAAAAUGCUAACAGUCACAAGUUGAAUAACUUCUCCCAUGACAAAAGAGUAAAAUUUGACACCCUAAAAACCAUUUAUUGGUAACAUCAGAAGCAAUUUUACCACAAAUGGAGGUGUAACAUAGUUGUUUAUUCACAAUGGGAUCAGCUCCUGAACACUCGGGUCCAGCCAAACCCACCUCCUCAAAGUGCCAGGGACAGGCUGCAUUGCAUUCCUAAGGGGAAGUGGGGGACCUGUCGCAAGAACACUUCUGCAGCCUGUGCACAUGGAGGCCCAGGGGGCAAGGAACCGAAGCCUCCUACCAAGAGCCAAACAGGAACUGGGGCCUCCUGCCAACAGCCAUGGGAGCGAGCUGCCUGCAGAGCAGCUCCUCCAGCCCCAGGCAAGCCUUCAGAUGAUUGCAGCCCCUACAAAAUCCUGACUGCAGCCACAACCAACUGGGUAAUGAGCCUACUCCACACCCUGACCCACAGAAACUGGGGGAUAAUAAAUGCUUAUUUGCUUUAAGCCACUAA